RNAcentral lists this ribosomal RNA (504 nucleotides) under uncultured bacterium. Its description in RNAcentral is "partial 16S ribosomal RNA". It matches the Rfam family "Bacterial small subunit ribosomal RNA", at positions 28 to 523 of the family's 1533-position model. The record is from RNAcentral.
GACGAACGCUGGCGGCGUGCUUAACACAUGCAAGUCGAACGGUAAGGCCCUUCGGGGUACACGAGCGGCGAACGGGUGAGUAACACGUGGGUAAUCUGCCCUCGGUUUCGGGAUAGCCCGGGGCAACCCGGAUUAAUACCGAAUGGCCCUUCAGCUCUUCGGAGCGGGAGGGAAAGGUAGCUUCGGCCUCCGACCGAGGAUGAGCCCGCGGCGGAUUAGCUUGUUGGUGGGGUAACGGCCUACCAAGGCGGCGAUCCGUAGCUGGUCUAGGAGGACGAUCAGCCCCACUGGGACUGAGAAACGGCCCAGACUCCUACGGGAGGCAGCAGUGGGGAAUCUUGCGCAAUGGGCGAAAGCCUGACGCAGCGACGCCGCGUGCGGGAAGAAGGCCUUCGGGUUGUAACCCGCUUUCAGGAGGGACGAAGCCACUCGGGUGAAUAGCCCAGAGGGUGACGGUACUUCCAGAAGAAGUCCCGGCUAACUACGUGCCAGCCGCCGCAGUAA